GAAGAUCAUCGGCCAGAGCCGCGCCGACUCUACAAAACACUUCUGGCCGACAGACGGCUUUUUCUCUCUGGGCCGAUCUCGGCUGAAAGCUGUUGUAGGUGCGGCAGAUCAGCACUCGGUGUAGUUGCAUGAAUUUACCUUCAGCCCGAGUUGGUUUUGUCGCCGGCGGGCCGCUGCUAGAAUGAAGCAGAUCAGCCGCUGAGAGAAAGAUUUGGCGGUUAACGUAAUCCUGAGGAGAUUUCGGCGGGCACAGUUCUCAAGAGGAAUACUUCAGCUGCAAAAAGAAAUUCUGAGCUGCUGCAUGAACAUUCAUCAAACAUAUAAGGUUGCAAUUUGGAAAAAACUUUCAAGCUAAUGCUGCUGAAAUGCAGGUCAAGGGGACUAUGAAGAGGUGGCUCCAGCUGAUCAAAAGGGUGGACUUCAGGAGGCAGACACACUCUGUUACAGUAAUCAGCUGAUCCAUUCGGUAUCCAGACCAGACGGUGGACCUGCACCCAGGAACGACCACAACACAUCCCUGAAUGUCAGCGGAGACCAUGUCAGCUAGAUGACAGAUCCCUGUGAAGACCUCAUUGAUGGCUCCAGCACAGAUCCUCAGCAAAGACUACAAGAACCAGACAAGCCCUCUGCACAGACCCUUUUUACCAGCUUCACCUGCUAGCGUGAUAUUACUUCAUGCAGAAGAAGUUGGAUGAAAUAUUCUGAAUGAUAUCAAUCCACAAUCUGACUUGUGAUGCAGCCUGGAAUAAUCACACCACGUUCAUUCGUUUGGCCAGACGAGAACUGGUUUCCUGACUGAGCCGGGUCUUGUUUGGGUUUGGGUUCCUUGUCACUGUUGCCUUUUGUCUUGCUUGGUUGAAGACACCUAAUAUUCAGCAAUAUUAUUGACUUGACUGCACUGACACCAUUUGAUGAGAACUGAACUGAAUUAUGACACACAAUGUUUUAUAU
Molecule: long non-coding RNA, 951 nt
Organism: Onychostoma macrolepis
Lineage: Eukaryota; Metazoa; Chordata; Actinopteri; Cypriniformes; Cyprinidae
Exons: 4
Source: RefSeq, a predicted model, not a curated record